UUUCACAAGGUACUGUGGAGGUUGCCUAUGGGUGUCACAUUGCCUAUUACCAUGAAAAUAAUCACCCUUUUUCUAUGUGCUCUUGCACAUCAAGUCGCAAGCGAAACUAAUGAUAUUUUUCCUGCGAAGAUCCUGACCCAACAGAAAUCUUUAAGCGAGAAUAGUGACCUCUACGUUAUCUGCAGCACAUUUGGGUUGAAGAAACAGACCGAGGUGUAUGUUUAUUUAUGUAGGAAUGAUGUUGGAAUGAUUAAACAUAUCCAGAAGAAAGAACAUAAUGAUACCACCUUCAUCAUAAACAGAGUCAGUCUUAAUCACAGUGGAAAUUACAGCUGUGUUUACUCAACACGUGGUUAUUCGCCUCCCGAAGUAACCAAGAAAGCAUGCAACCCCAUAGAGAUUCUGGUUAUAGCCAAUUUUCUCCCUGCAGAUAUUUCAGUAGCCGGGCCGUUGGCUGUCAGUGAGGGAGACGAUGUUGAAUUCAGCUGUACUGUGUCUGAAACCCUGCAAACACUGGGUGGAUGUCAAUUGAUCCAUUCUUACCUUAAGAGGAAUGAGCUCAUCCUCCAAGUGCAAACAUUUAAUGUCACACAGAUGGAGGCGACUUUCACCAUCCAAGACGCAGUCACGAGGGACUCGGGUAAUUACAGCUGUGUGGUGCUGCCAUCUAAAUGCAUCCAAAAGCAUGAGAAAACACUCUAUGGAAAUAACGCAGUAUCACUCGAGGUCAAAGAGAGUUUGUUUCUCCGAGUGAUUGUCUCUUGUGGAGUGAUAAGCAUGAUGAUAACACUGGGUCUGUGCCUGUGGUGCAUCAACAAACCAGGCGGCUUAGCUUUGUGUAAUCAACGUGCACCAAGUGAGCAGGCAAAUAUAGACAUGCUGGAGGAACAGCAGGAGCAGACAGAAGAGGGUCUGGAAGCACAAGAUGGAGAUUCUUUCAGCACCGAGGAAGAAGAAGGUUUACUUUUACAGUUCAUCUUGAGAAAGAAAAGAUAAGUACAAUGGAUUUAAAUAAAAUCUUUCCAAAUACAUAAACCAUAAACUUACUUUUCACAAAAGACUUGCUGCAACAUCGUUAAUGGUGCACAAUUCUUAACAACAACACUAUAUUAUUAUUAUUAUUAUUAUUAUUAUUAUUAUUAUUAUUAUUAUUCAUUGGCUACAUUUUCUCAGGUAUCAGAAUGUUGUGAAUGCUGAGGACAGCACUUACUCUGAUGGUUUGGAGGGAGUGUACAGUGUUGCAGAUGACAGUGAGAAUGACUACGAUGACAGUGAUCACAUGUGUGCCAACUAAUACAUUUUGAUUGAUAAAGGUACUGUAAAAUGUUUAGUUAUCAUUAUAAUGAAGGGGCAGAGUCACUCAUUUGUUUUUAUUGUUUGGAUGCUUUGUUUCUCUUUGCAUACAAAGCUCAAUAACAAGACAACAUGGGCAGAAAGAUUAUAAAAAGAAUAAAACAUGUCAUAAAGUCAACUGGUUAGAAGGCAUUACAUAGUAUGAUGCUGCCUGGUUCAGCAGAGCAGGUUUGUCUAUCAGUUAGUUCAGUGCAUGUUACAGGAAAACCUCAUCUUAAUUUGUUACAAUAGGACAGACCUGAAUAGCAUUUUGUGGUUAGCUUUCUGACUCACAAGGGCCAAUUCUCUCAUGACAAAUUAAAAUAAUAACCAAGAAAAAAUGCACGCCAUCUAACUUUGAACUUCUCAACCACAGAUGAUUCACCUGCAAGAUCAAGUUCAACACAUGUGUAUGCCAGGUCCUCCAAAUAUAAAUGUUAAUUUAUAAUAUGUUAAUCGGAUUUUAUUGUCGGAUACAUGAAUAACUGUAACGCACCCCUGCUUUGUUCUGUCUGUGUCACAUUUCAUUAAGGUAAGGUAAUGUUAAAAUGUAUAGUGAAUGAAGAAGGAACAUUUGAACUCCAUUAUUAGCCUGAUCAGUAGUAUAUGUGGAGGAGGAACUGCUCCUUGUGGUCAAGGGUAAAAGAAUGUCCUCAUACAUUAAAUUUUUACAUGGAUCCUUUCUUUGUUGCAGAAGGUUUCAAUUUAUUUUUGCCUAAUAAAUGAAAUUAGUGUGUUCCUGCCCCUUUGUGCAAUCAGUGCUUUAAAGAAUGUACUACAGUUUGUUUUCAAUAACAAACACUGCAAGUGUUGUUGUAGUGAUUGACUGUACUUUGUAAUAAACAGUAUAGAAAACAAA
Dicentrarchus labrax (European seabass) is the source of this 2191-nucleotide RNA transcript. RefSeq lists it as uncharacterized. The transcript is spliced from 10 exons. The record is from RefSeq and is a predicted model, not a curated record. NCBI's taxonomy places the organism in Eukaryota, Metazoa, Chordata, Actinopteri, Moronidae.